GAUGAACGCUGGCGGCGUGCCUAAUACAUGCAAGUCGAACGCGCAGCGAGAGGUGCUUGCACCUUUCAAGCGAGUGGCGAACGGGUGAGUAACACGUGGAUAACCUGCCUCAAGGCUGGGGAUAACAUUUGGAAACAGAUGCUAAUACCGAAUAAACCUUAGUAUCGCAUGAUAUCAAGUUAAAAGGCGCUACGGCGUCACCUAGAGGUGGAUCCGCGGUGCAUUAGUUAGUUGGUGGGGUAAAGGCUUACCAAGACGAUGAUGCAUAGCCGAGUUGAGGGACGGAUCGGCCACAUUGGGACUGAGACACGGCCCAAACUCCUACGGGAGGCUGCAGUAGGGAAUCUUCCACAAUGGGCGCAAGCCUGAUGGAGCAACGCCGCGUGUGUGAUGAAGGCUUUCGGGUCGUAAAGCACUGUUGUAUGGGAAGAAAUGCUAAAAUAGGGAAUGAUUUUAGUUUGACGGUACCAUACCAGAAAGGGACGGCUAAAUACGUGCCAGCAGCCGCGGUAA
Molecule: ribosomal RNA, 513 nt
Filed under: uncultured bacterium
Lineage: Bacteria
Description: partial 16S ribosomal RNA
Rfam family: Bacterial small subunit ribosomal RNA
Source: RNAcentral